UUGUCAGCUGGGAUAAUCUUUACCUGUUCCUUCUUUUGGAGGGCAAAUUAGGACAUGAUUGGGGUUCACAUGAUAUGCGAUUAACAUCUCAGUAAUCAGGACUUACAGCACCCUGAUUGCGCCUAUCUGAU
Small nucleolar RNA from Pongo abelii (Sumatran orangutan), 131 nucleotides. Its record names the gene U8. It matches the Rfam family "U8 small nucleolar RNA". From Rfam's summary of the family: U8 is a member of the C/D class of snoRNA which contain the C (UGAUGA) and D (CUGA) box motifs. U8 is the RNA component of a small complex (the U8 snoRNP) which is required for accumulation of mature large subunit ribosomal RNAs, 5.8S and 28S rRNAs. The record is from Ensembl. NCBI's taxonomy places the organism in Eukaryota, Metazoa, Chordata, Mammalia, Primates, Hominidae.